GUGGAUUAGAUACCCUGGUCGUCCACGCCGUAAACGAUGUUCACUAGGUGUUGGGGGUAUUGACCCCCUCAGUGCCGCAGCUAACGCAUUAAGUGAACCGCCUGGGGAGUACGGUCGCAAGACUAAAACUCAAAGGAAUUGACGGGGGCCCGCACAAGCGGUGGAGCAUGUGGUUUAAUUCGAUGCAACGCGAAGAACCUUACCUGGGCUUGAUAUCCCGGGAAUUUCCUGGAAACAGGAGAGUGCCCUUCGGGGAACCCGGUGACAGGUGCUGCACGGCCGUCGCCAGCU
This 291-nucleotide ribosomal RNA is filed under the name uncultured bacterium. RNAcentral's name for it is "partial 16S ribosomal RNA". It matches the Rfam family "Bacterial small subunit ribosomal RNA", at positions 773 to 1060 of the family's 1533-position model. The record is from RNAcentral.